This 468-nucleotide ribosomal RNA is filed under the name uncultured bacterium. RNAcentral's name for it is "partial 16S ribosomal RNA". It matches the Rfam family "Bacterial small subunit ribosomal RNA", at positions 28 to 507 of the family's 1533-position model. The record is from RNAcentral.
GACGAACGCUGGCGGCGUGCUUAACACAUGCAAGUCGAACGGAAAGGCCCUGCUUUUGUGGGGUGCUCGAGUGGCGAACGGGUGAGUAACACGUGAGUAACCUGCCCUUGACUUUGGGAUAACUUCAGGAAACUGGGGCUAAUACCGGAUAGGAGCUCCUGCUGCAUGGUGGGGGUUGGAAAGUUUCGGCGGUUGGGGAUGGACUCGCGGCUUAUCAGCUUGUUGGUGGGGUAGUGGCUUACCAAGGCUUUGACGGGUAGCCGGCCUGAGAGGGUGACCGGCCACAUUGGGACUGAGAUACGGCCCAGACUCCUACGGGAGGCAGCAGUGGGGAAUAUUGCACAAUGGGCGGAAGCCUGAUGCAGCAACGCCGCGUGCGGGAUGACGGCCUUCGGGUUGUAAACCGCUUUCGCCUGUGACGAAGCGUGAGUGACGGUAACGGGUAAAGAAGCACCGGCUAAUUACGUG